RNAcentral lists this unclassified non-coding RNA (363 nucleotides) under uncultured Ascomycota. RNAcentral describes it as "sequence contains ITS1". The stretch from base 1 to 105 matches the Rfam family "5.8S ribosomal RNA", at positions 50 to 154 of the family's 154-position model. Lineage: Eukaryota; Fungi; Ascomycota. The record is from RNAcentral.
GAAAUGCGAUAAGUAAUGUGAAUUGCAGAAUUCAGUGAAUCAUCGAAUCUUUGAACGCACAUUGCGCCCUCUGGUAUUCCGGAGGGCAUGCCUGUUUGAGUGUCAUUUAACACCUCACCAAUGUCAUCUUUACGGAUGCUUCGUUGGUCGGAGUUGGGUCGUGCGGUCUUACCACCGCUGACUCGAAAUCGAUGGGUGCGGCCUUUUGCCUCUCGACCGACUCAACGUUCUAGGUUUAUCCAACUCGUUGAUGGAAGGGAGCAAACUUGUGUGUUGCACCUAAAGCCUUCGCCUUCUCCUCCGUGGGAUUGUGAAUGAAAACUCUUUGACCUCAGAUCAGGUAGGAAUACGCGCUGAACUUAA